GAGAUUUAUCGGAGGUCGUCGCCACUGUUGCCAAAUAAACAUCCAUUUGAAGCUUUUGGUUUUAUUUUCCGAUUCGGAGAUUUAUCGGAGGUCGUCUCCACUGUUGCCAAAUAAACAUCCCUUUGAAGCUUUUGGUAGGAGAGGAUUACCAGAUGGAAUGAUGGCAGAAGCCGGGUUGCACAUGGGAGGCAUAUAGUCUUUUUGGGGAUUAACCCAACCCACUUUGCUUUUGGGAGGAAGAGGACCAUCAUUUAGGGAUUGUAAGAAAGAAGGGAUAAACCUAAGGUAAGAAAACCUGCUUUUGUACCAAUGGCUCGUGAAGGAAAGAAGGGAUAAACCUAAGGAACCGGUGGAAAGGUUAAUGCAAUUACAACCUACAAUGACCACCUAUUUGCUGCCAUUCAGGUAGUUCUAUAUAAUCAAUUUUGAACUAAUUCAUUGGUUUUAUUCAAACAACAGAAAGCAGGGCUUUUGACCGCCUUCUCGACCCCUGGGGCUGUCCAAAGGCAUACAAUUUGCUUGUAUCAAGUGAGGUGAAGCGUUUUUUAAAUCUGAAGCUAAAAGGAACAUUUGUAUGUUGUUGUUCAUGUUUAUGUUGUGUAAUUGUUUUGGAUCGYUUCAUGAUUCAUGUUCUCCUCGAAAAUGAAGUUCAUGCGAUUUGUAAAACACUAACCAUGAUGCCUAUUUCUAAGUUCAUGUUAUAUGUAUUAAUAUGUAAAAAAAAACUAAGAGCAAAUCAUACCAAU
Long non-coding RNA from Cynara cardunculus var. scolymus (artichoke), 746 nucleotides. RefSeq lists it as uncharacterized. NCBI's taxonomy places the organism in Eukaryota, Viridiplantae, Streptophyta, Magnoliopsida, Asterales, Asteraceae. The transcript is spliced from 6 exons. The record is from RefSeq and is a predicted model, not a curated record.